This 253-nucleotide ribosomal RNA is filed under the name uncultured bacterium. RNAcentral describes it as "partial 16S ribosomal RNA". It matches the Rfam family "Bacterial small subunit ribosomal RNA", at positions 524 to 776 of the family's 1533-position model. The record is from RNAcentral.
UACGAAGGGGGCUAGCGUUGUCCGGAAUUAUUGGGCGUAAAGAGCGUGUAGGCGGCCAAGCAGGUCAGCUGUGAAAACUCGAGGCUCAACCUCGAGACGUCGGUUGAAACCGCUUGGCUAGAGUCCGGAAGAGGAGAGUGGAAUUCCCGGUGUAGCGGUGAAAUGCGCAGAUAUCGGGAAGAACACCCGUGGCGAAGGCGGCUCUCUGGGACGGUACUGACGCUGAGACGCGAAAGCGUGGGGAGCGAACAGG